This 443-nucleotide ribosomal RNA is filed under the name uncultured bacterium. Its description in RNAcentral is "partial 16S ribosomal RNA". It matches the Rfam family "Bacterial small subunit ribosomal RNA", at positions 338 to 795 of the family's 1533-position model. The record is from RNAcentral.
CCUACGGGUGGCAGCAGUGGGGAAUAUUGGUCAAUGGACGAAACUCUGACCCAGCAACGUCGCGUGAAUGAUGAAGGUCUUCGGAUUGUAAAGUUUUUUUCUAAGGGAAGAAGAAAGUGACGGUACCUUAGGAAUAAGCCUCGGCUAACUACGUGCCAGCAGCCGCGGUAAUACGUAGGAGGCGAGCGUUAUCCGGAAUGACUGGUCGUAAAGGUUGAGUGGGUGGUGUGGCAAGGUAGUAGGGUAACUCCAAGGCUAAACCUGGGAACUACAACUAAAACUGUUGGACUUGAGUACAGGAGAGGCAGGCGGAAUUCCUAGUGUAGCGGUGGAAUGCGUAGAUAUUAGGAGGAACACCAGUGGCGAAGGCGGGUUGCUAGACUGUAACUGACACUGAGGCACGAAAGCGUGGGGAGCAAACAGGAUUAGAUACCCGGGUAGUC